This 490-nucleotide ribosomal RNA is filed under the name uncultured bacterium. RNAcentral's name for it is "partial 16S ribosomal RNA". It matches the Rfam family "Bacterial small subunit ribosomal RNA", at positions 30 to 507 of the family's 1533-position model. The record is from RNAcentral.
AUUGAACGCUGGCGGCAGGCCUAACACAUGCAAGUCGAACGGUAACAGGAAACAGCUUGCUGUUUCGCUGACGAGUGGCGGACGGGUGAGUAAUGUCUGGGAAACUGCCUGAUGGAGGGGGAUAACUACUGGAAACGGUAGCUAAUACCGCAUAACGUCGCAAGACCAAAGAGGGGGACCUUCGGGCCUCUUGCCAUCGGAUGUGCCCAGAUGGGAUUAGCUAGUAGGUGGGGUAACGGCUCACCUAGGCGACGAUCCCCAGCUGGUCUGAGAGGAUGACCAGCCACACUGGAACUGAGACACGGUCCAGACUCCUACGGGAGGCAGCAGUGGGGAAUAUUGCACAAUGGGCGCAAGCCUGAUGCAGCCAUGCCGCGUGUAUGAAGAAGGCCUUCGGGUUGUAAAGUACUUUCAGCGGGGAGGAAGGGAGUAAAGUUAAUACCUUUACUCAUUGACGUUACCCGCAGAAGAAGCACCGGCUAACUCCGUG